Molecule: long non-coding RNA, 427 nt
Filed under: Ananas comosus (pineapple)
Lineage: Eukaryota; Viridiplantae; Streptophyta; Magnoliopsida; Poales; Bromeliaceae
Description: long non-coding RNA (ACOM_LNC021407)
Source: RNAcentral
ACCUAGAGGGGGGUGAAUAGGUGAAAGGCCAAAAAACCACAAAUCUCGAUGCAAUAAAAAUAAAUGCGGAAAAUAAAAAGCACACCGAGAUUUACGUGGGAAAACUCCAAACUCGGAGUAAAAAACCCACGGGACCAACACGCGAUAACAAUCCACUAAGAAUAAAAGAUUACAAGGUGAUUUACCGAAUCCACGGACUCAAACCUCUCUUCUAUUUUCUCCGGAUCUCGCGCACACCAACGGGUUGUCCACGCCCCACGUCCGAAUCCACGAACGCCACGUCCCGAAUCCACGAAACGUCACCACUUCGAAUCCACGAAGCCUCGAUCACGUCGAAUCCACGACGCCCACUCGAAUCCACGAGCUCACGAUCCGAAUCCACGAACCGUCUUCGUUCACGCCGAAUCCACGACGCCGUUCAUGAAGA